AAUUGUGGUAGUUUUCUUCCUGGCAUAUUUGUUAAGUUUCCAAAUAGGCCUGACUCUGCCACAUAUAUUGUAUAGGAGCUGGCAAGGUUGGAGCACAGAACACAUUCUCUAGUCUUUCCCAUGUCCGGUUUAGCUCACACAGAC
This is a small nucleolar RNA of Suncus etruscus (white-toothed pygmy shrew), 144 nucleotides long. RefSeq annotates it as small nucleolar RNA SNORA12. The transcript has a single exon. The record is from RefSeq and is a predicted model, not a curated record. Lineage: Eukaryota; Metazoa; Chordata; Mammalia; Eulipotyphla; Soricidae.